This 490-nucleotide ribosomal RNA is filed under the name uncultured bacterium. Its description in RNAcentral is "partial 16S ribosomal RNA". It matches the Rfam family "Bacterial small subunit ribosomal RNA", at positions 30 to 507 of the family's 1533-position model. The record is from RNAcentral.
AUUGAACGCUGGCGGCAGGCCUAACACAUGCAAGUCGAACGGUAACAGGAAGCAGCUUGCUGCUUUGCUGACGAGUGGCGGACGGGUGAGUAAUGUCUGGGAAACUGCCCGAUGGAGGGGGAUAACUACUGGAAACGGUAGCUAAUACCGCAUAACGUCGCAAGACCAAAGAGGGGGACCUUAGGGCCUCUUGCCAUCGGAUGUGCCCAGAUGGGAUUAGCUAGUAGGUGGGGUAACGGCUCACCUAGGCGACGAUCCCUAGCUGGUCUGAGAGGAUGACCAGCCACACUGGAACUGAGACACGGUCCAGACUCCUACGGGAGGCAGCAGUGGGGAAUAUUGCACAAAGGGCGCAAGCCUGAUGCAGCCAUGCCGCGUGUAUGAAGAAGGCCUUCGGGUUGUAAAGUACUUUCAGCGGGGAGGAAGGGAGUAAAGUUAAUACCUUUGCUCAUUGACGUUACCUGCAGAAGAAGCACCGGCUAACUCCGUG